GACGAACGCUGGCGGCGUGCUUAACACAUGCAAGUCGAACGGAAAGGCCCUGCUUGCAGGGUACUCGAGUGGCGAACGGGUGAGUAACACGUGGGUGAUCUGCCCUGCACUUCGGGAUAAGCUUGGGAAACUGGGUCUAAUACCGGAUAGGACCGCACUUUAGUGUGUGUGGUGGAAAGUUUUUUCGGUGUAGGAUGAGCUCGCGGCCUAUCAGCUUGUUGGUGGGGUAAUGGCCUACCAAGGCGGCGACGGGUAGCCGGCCUGAGAGGGUGUACGGCCACAUUGGGACUGAGAUACGGCCCAGACUCCUACGGGGGGCAGCAGGGGGGAAUAUUGCACAAUGGGCGCAAGCCUGAUGCAGCGACGCCGCGUGGGGGAUGAAGGCCUUCGGGUUGUAAACUCCUUUCGCUAGGGACGAAGCUUUUUGUGACGGUACCUAGAUAAGAAGCACCGGCUAACUACGUG
RNAcentral lists this ribosomal RNA (465 nucleotides) under uncultured bacterium. RNAcentral's name for it is "partial 16S ribosomal RNA". It matches the Rfam family "Bacterial small subunit ribosomal RNA", at positions 28 to 507 of the family's 1533-position model. The record is from RNAcentral.